GACUGACUCUUUGCUCCAGGUUUAAAUGAUCGGUUGUGUUCAAAUGUUCACAAGACAAGAGGAGGUUUAAAAUAGAAUUGUUUUUGGAUUUUUUUGCAGAGACUAAAACAGCAUAGAUCCCCAUCCAGACUAAAGCAGCAACAUUUACAGAGGCCAGCUGAGCAGACAACAUGAAUGUCGUUCUCCUGAUCACCAUUACUUUCACUCUCAUCCUUGUUCAUGGGUCCCCCAAGAAAGUGGCUCACAAUCAACAUCCUUGUGAGAGAAAGAACCAAAACAAUGCAUACAAUAAAUUUGUUUGGAAACACAUCCUUAAGAAGACCUUUGACAAAUCAUCAACGUCUGAAUGGGAAAAGUACCUACGAAUGAAGCACCUCUGCAAAAGACGUCGCCAGACCUUCUUCAUGAAAUCGGAUGAGAAAAACGUUAAGAAGAUCUGCAACGGCCAUGGCGUUAUUAAUAAUGAACACGACAACUUAUGCACAAGUGACUCAAAGAUGUUGGUAUAUUAUCUCAAUGUCACCUCGAACUGUAAAAUUCUAAGUAAAGAAGAAUUCAGGAAAUA
Long non-coding RNA from Micropterus dolomieu (smallmouth bass), 565 nucleotides. RefSeq lists it as uncharacterized. Lineage: Eukaryota; Metazoa; Chordata; Actinopteri; Centrarchiformes; Centrarchidae. The transcript has 3 exons. The record is from RefSeq and is a predicted model, not a curated record.